Homo sapiens (human) is the source of this 1215-nucleotide long non-coding RNA. RefSeq lists it as uncharacterized. The transcript is spliced from 2 exons. The record is from RefSeq and is a predicted model, not a curated record. Lineage: Eukaryota; Metazoa; Chordata; Mammalia; Primates; Hominidae.
UCCCCCGGAAGCACAGACGUGGAAGGAGGCUGCUGGAAGGAAGUGUGUGAGAUGAGCUUAUUUGUGAGUGAGCAGGAGGGAAGGGGUGGUGAACUUUCCUCCCAGGACGAGAUGUGUGCCUGCACUUCUCAGCCGUGAGUGUCGGGAACCAGUCCUGGAGAAACAUGACAAAUCGCUUCCCUGCGAAGGCUCGCAAUCUUGGGAUAACUGCAUAGCAGGAAAUAAACAAGACUUGGCUCUAUAUUCGAAGCCUCAGUACAAACAGAACCUAAAAGACAGACAGAAAGAAAAUGAUACAUAUAAAUACAUGCAUGAAAUGGCGGAGGGGAGAAGACUAUCUCAGAAAGAAAACCCAGAAACAUAGUGCGGGAAUGCUCACAAACCCAAAUUAGCUGCAGCUUCAAUACAGUUAACUAUUGUUUCCUUUUGGAAAGAAUUUUAUUAUUCUGUUUUCCUCAUCUCUUCCAAAAGAAAGAGCUUCGAGCAGCAUCUGCAAAUUGCUGGUAGGGAAAUCCUUGAUCUUUACCCCUAUUGAGAUUGUCAAAAGAUACCAAAAGCUGGAAUCUGUGCUUUAUAAAGUUAAUGUUUUCUGGAAAUUGCAGCAAUACAGAAAGCAGCCUUUCCCCUGCUUUCAACAGUGUUUGAGAGGAUUCUGAAACUCUCUGUAGGCGAAAAAGAAGCCACCAAACUGACUCUGUUUCAAAUUUCUACUCUAAGUUAUUUCUCCUGUUCGUGUGAACCCUGGGACAGAACGGGUGUGUAUUCAUUUUAACCUUAGCUCAGAUGGACAGCUCCAGGUGUGUAAGUGGGUUGGUGGUGGCUGCCCAGAGAGGAGGAGAUAUUUCAGAUUUGGUUUCUCCAAGGUUGCACCAUUGAUUGCAUUCCAUGUACAUUAUGAUCCCAAAGUGUGUUUAAUCGAGAGCUACACAACAGUGCAAAGUGGCGGAUGUUAAUGUUGACUAGAACUUAACCUAUACGUUUUGAGUGCCUUCCUGGGGCCUGGAUUUUAACUGAGCAUCGUUAAUGUGAUGAAUUUCUCACUGUUAAUUAAAUGUUAUAAUGAGUCUUCAAUACUUUUAAAACCAGAAGAGAAGUAUUCUGUGAGAAAACUUUAUAUAUGUUUAAAAAACAAAAGAAUUCCAUCUUUCUGUUGACACUUUCCCCACACCUUUGUGCGGCAUUUUCUAAAAGAGAAUAAAAUAACAGCAAAAUGUC